GCAGACAUAGUUUCAACCCAAACAUUAGGCUGUGAUCCUAAAAAUAGAAGUUAGACCCUUCUUGCCUGCC
Transfer RNA from Phaethon lepturus (White-tailed tropicbird), 70 nucleotides. It matches the Rfam family "tRNA". From Rfam's summary of the family: Transfer RNA (tRNA) molecules are approximately 80 nucleotides in length. Their secondary structure includes four short double-helical elements and three loops (D, anti-codon, and T loops). Further hydrogen bonds mediate the characteristic L-shaped molecular structure. tRNAs have two regions of fundamental functional importance: the anti-codon, which is responsible for specific mRNA codon recognition, and the 3' end, to which the tRNAs corresponding amino acid is attached (by aminoacyl-tRNA synthetases). tRNAs cope with the degeneracy of the genetic code in two manners: having more than one tRNA (with a specific anti-codon) for a particular amino acid; and 'wobble' base-pairing, i.e. permitting non-standard base-pairing at the 3rd anti-codon position. The record is from Rfam. Lineage: Eukaryota; Metazoa; Chordata; Aves; Phaethontiformes; Phaethontidae.